AUUGAACGCUGGCGGAAUGCUUUACACAUGCAAGUCGAACGAUGAACCUUAGCUUGCUAGGGGGAUUAGUGGCGAACGGGUGAGUAAUAUAUCGGAACGUACCUUGUAAUGGGGGAUAACUAGUCGAAAGAUUAGCUAAUACCGCAUACGCCCUGAGGGGGAAAGUAGGGGAUCUUCGGACCUUACGUUAUAAGAGCGGCCGAUAUCUGAUUAGCUAGUUGGUGGGGUAAUGGCCUACCAAGGCGACGAUCAGUAGCUGGUCUGAGAGGACGACCAGCCACACUGGAACUGAGACACGGUCCAGACUCCUACGGGAGGCAGCAGUGGGGAAUUUUGGACAAUGGGCGCAAGCCUGAUCCAGCCAUUCCGCGUGAGUGAAGAAGGCCUUCGGGUUGUAAAGCUCUUUCGCAAGGGAAGAAAACUUACACAAUAACACUGUGUGAGGCUGACGGUACCUUGAUAAGAAGCACCGGCUAACUACGUGCCAGCAGCCGCGGUAAUACGUAGGGUGCGAGCGUUAAUCGGAAUUACUGGGCGUAAAGCGUGCGCAGGCGGUUUUGUAAGUCAGAUGUGAAAUCCCCGAGCUCAACUUGGGAACUGCGUUUGAAACUACAAGACUAGAAUAUGUCAGAGGGGGGUAGAAUUCCACGUGUAGCAGUGAAAUGCGUAGAGAUGUGGAGGAAUACCAAUGGCGAAGGCAGCCCCCUGGGAUAAUAUUGACGCUCAUGCACGAAAGCGUGGGGAGCAAACAGG
This 753-nucleotide ribosomal RNA is filed under the name uncultured Methylophilaceae bacterium. RNAcentral describes it as "bacterial SSU rRNA". It matches the Rfam family "Bacterial small subunit ribosomal RNA", at positions 28 to 776 of the family's 1533-position model. Lineage: Bacteria; Pseudomonadati; Pseudomonadota; Betaproteobacteria; Nitrosomonadales; Methylophilaceae. The record is from RNAcentral.